RNAcentral lists this ribosomal RNA (253 nucleotides) under uncultured bacterium. RNAcentral's name for it is "partial 16S ribosomal RNA". It matches the Rfam family "Bacterial small subunit ribosomal RNA", at positions 524 to 776 of the family's 1533-position model. The record is from RNAcentral.
UACGGAGGGGGCUAGCGUUGUUCGGAAUUACUGGGCGUAAAGGGCGCGUAGGCGGCUUAACAAGUCACUUGUGAAAUCUCCGGGCUUAACUCGGAACGGCCAAGUGAAACUGUCAAGCUAGAGUGCAGAAGGGGCAAUCGGAAUUCUUGGUGUAGCGGUGAAAUGCGUAGAUAUCAAGAGGAACACCUGAGGUGAAGACGGGUUGCUGGGCUGACACUGACGCUGAGGCGCGAAAGCCAGGGGAGCAAACGGG